UACGUAGGGUGCAAGCGUUAAUCGGAAUUACUGGGCGUAAAGGGUAGGUAGGUGGUCUCAUUUGUCUGGGGUGAAAGCCUUGAGCUUAACUCAAGAAGUGCCCCAGAAACGGUGAGACUCGAGUACUGGAGAGGCUAGUGGAAUUCCCGGUGUAGCGGUGAAAUGCGUAGAGAUCGGGAGGAACACCAGAGGCGAAGGCGGCUAGCUGGACAGUAACUGACACUCAACUACGAAAGCGUGGGGAGCAAACAGG
RNAcentral lists this ribosomal RNA (253 nucleotides) under uncultured bacterium. RNAcentral's name for it is "partial 16S ribosomal RNA". It matches the Rfam family "Bacterial small subunit ribosomal RNA", at positions 524 to 776 of the family's 1533-position model. The record is from RNAcentral.